Molecule: ribosomal RNA, 792 nt
Filed under: uncultured archaeon
Lineage: Archaea
Description: bacterial SSU rRNA
Rfam family: Archaeal small subunit ribosomal RNA
Source: RNAcentral
ACUGCUCAGUAACACGUGGAUAACAUGCCCUAGAGUGGAGGAUAAUCUCGGGAAAUUGAGGAUAAUACCCCAUAGAUCAUAGGAUCUGGAAUGACUUAUGGUCGAAAGUUCUGGCGCUUUAGGAUUGGUCUGCGGCCUAUCAGGUUGUAGUGGGUGUAACGGACCCACUAGCCGACGACGGGUAUGGGCCUUGAGAGAGGGAGCCCAGAGAUGGAUUCUGAGACACGAAUCCAGGCCCUACGGGGCGCAGCAGUCGCGAAAACUUCACACUGGAGGCAACUCCGAUGAGGGAAUUCCUAGUGCUAGCACAUUAGUGUUAGCUUUUCUUAAGCGUAGAUAACUUAAGGAAUAAGGGCUGGGUAAGACGGGUGCCAGCCGCCGCGGUAAUACCCGCAGCCCAAGUGGUGGUCGAUUUUAUUGAGUCUAAAACGUUCGUAGCCGGUUUGGUAAAUCCUUGGGUAAAUCGGGAGGCUCAACUUUCCGAAUUCCGAGGAGACUGCCAAACUUGGGACCGGGAGAGGCGAGAGGUACUUCUGGGGUAGGGGUAAAAUCCUGUAAUCCUAGAAGGACCACCGGUGGCGAAGGCGUCUCGCUAGAACGGAUCCGACGGUGAGGGACGAAGCCCUGGGUCGCAAACGGGAUUAGAUACCCCGGUAGUCCAGGGUGUAAACGCUGCAGACUUGGUGUUGGGGACCCUACGUGGGUGUUCAGUGCCGGAGAGAAGUUGUUAAGUCUGCUACUUGGGGAGUACGUCCGCAAGGAUGAAACUUAAAGGAAUUGGCGGGGGAGCAC